Molecule: long non-coding RNA, 776 nt
Organism: Eriocheir sinensis (Chinese mitten crab)
Lineage: Eukaryota; Metazoa; Arthropoda; Malacostraca; Decapoda; Varunidae
Exons: 2
Source: RefSeq, a predicted model, not a curated record
UUCCUAUUAUUCCUUCUUUCUUACUUCAUUUCUCGUUAUUCCUUUUCCUCCUCUUCCUACAAUCCUCCAUGUCAUUCCCUUCCCCGUCCGUGUCCUUGGCAGCAACCAUAAAUCAUGCACGCGGUCCCCAAGAGUUUUUCGUGGGUGUUGACUCGUUCCUAUUGGCUACUCCUAUUGGCUUCACGCGCUCGCUCGAAGCUACGAACCUAAUGCGUCAGAAUUCUUGAACCUGUGUGAACUGGAUCUAGGGGGUUUGGUCUAGUUUGUGUGUGUGUGCGUGUGUCAAGGUCAUUUCAGGUUUCGUGUAGUCUCCAGCGCGCUCUCACCCACGCACGACUCAAUUCAUUCCUGGAGCUUCUGGAAUUCUUUUACCCGCGUUUUAAAUUAUAAUGUUGUUUACUUCAAGCUUGUUCUCAGUAGCUACGUUGUUAACCCGUCCGCUACGAUUGGCACGGUUUUGGCUUUCACCGGUAGCCUGGUAACACACACUCCCAGGUCUUUCUCUGCCUCUGUAGUGGAUAGUGGAGUGUUUCCCAUGUGGUAUUGGUGUGCUGGAUAUCCCUUCACUGGUAGCCUGGUAACAUACACUCCCAGGUCUUUCUCUGCCUCUGUGGUGGAUAGUGGAGUGUUUCCCAUGUGGUAUUGGUGUGCUGGAUAUCCCUUCACUGGUAGCCUGGUAACACACACUCCCAGGUCUUUCUCUGCCUCUGUGGUGGAUAGCGGAGUGUUUCCCAUGUGGUAUUGGUGUGCUGGAUAUCCCCUCCCAAGGUGCAGGA